UACGUAGGCAGCAAGCGUUGUUCGGAAUUACUGGGCGUAAAGAGUGUGUAGGCGGUGCUCUAAGUUCGGUGUGAAAUCUCCCGGCUCAACUGGGAGGGUGCGCCGGAAACUGGAAUGCUUGAGCGUGGGAGAGGAAAGCGGAAUUCCUGGUGUAGCGGUGAAAUGCGUAGAUAUCAGGAGGAACACCUGCGGUGUAGACGGCUUUCUGGACCAUUGCUGACGCUGAGACGCGAAAGCUAGGGUAGCGAACGGG
RNAcentral lists this ribosomal RNA (253 nucleotides) under uncultured bacterium. Its description in RNAcentral is "partial 16S ribosomal RNA". It matches the Rfam family "Bacterial small subunit ribosomal RNA", at positions 524 to 776 of the family's 1533-position model. The record is from RNAcentral.